UUUUAAAAAAUUAUUUAAAAUUUUUUUUAUUUUUUUUUUUUGGUUUUGUAUUUCAGGAUAAGUUUUUUAUUUUUAAUUAAUUAUAAUUUAAAUUUAAAAUUAAAAAUUUUUUAAAGUUAUAAGUUAAAAUUAUAAUAUAAAAUUUUUUUUAUUUUUGAAAAAAUGUUUUAAAAGUUUAAAGUUUUUUUUUUUAUUUUUUUUUUAAUUUUUUUAUUUUUUUUUUUAAUUUAUUAAGAAAAAAAAAAUUUUUCUAUUAUUAUUUUUUUUAAUUUUUUUUAUUUUUCUAAUUUUUUUUAUUAAUUUUUUUUUCUUAAAGUUUUUUUUUAGAAUAAUUGGUAAUUUUUUUUUUAAUUUUUUUAAACUGCCUCUUGAUUAUUAAUUUUAAAGGCACCUUUAGCGUGAUUGGUCUAAGGUAGCAAAUUAAUUAGUUUUUUUAAUGGAUUCGAGGAUGAAUGUUUUUUUUUAUUUUUUUUUUUUAUUUUUUUUAAUAAUUUAUUAAAAAAUUAAAAAUUAUUUUUUUUUAUAAUACCAAGAGAAGUCUUUAGAAAUUUGUUUUUUUAUUUUUUUUAGGGUAAAAUUUUUUAUAAUUUUUGUGACCCUUUUUGGUUUUUAAAAUUUCUCUAGAGUUAACAGGAUUUUUUUACAUCGGUGUUGUUUUUUAUAAAUAAGUAAAAUUUUUAGUUUUUUUUCUUUUUAAGACUGUUCUUCUAUUUUUUAAACGUGAAAUUAGUUUAAUUCGACGUAAGUUAGAAUUGUUUAUCUGGAUUAAUUUUUUUUUUUAAAAAAUGUACGAAAGGAUCUUUUUA
Molecule: ribosomal RNA, 806 nt
Filed under: Heterodera glycines (soybean cyst nematode)
Lineage: Eukaryota; Metazoa; Nematoda; Chromadorea; Rhabditida; Heteroderidae
Description: 16S ribosomal RNA
Source: RNAcentral